CUUGCUUCUCUUGCGAGCGGCGGACGGGUGAGUAAUGCCUAGGAAUCUGCCUGGUAGUGGGGGAUAACGUUCGGAAACGGACGCUAAUACCGCAUACGUCCUACGGGAGAAAGCAGGGGACCUUCGGGCCUUGCGCUAUCAGAUGAGCCUAGGUCGGAUUAGCUAGUUGGUGGGGUAAUGGCUCACCAAGGCGACGAUCCGUAACUGGUCUGAGAGGAUGAUCAGUCACACUGGAACUGAGACACGGUCCAGACUCCUACGGGAGGCAGCAGUGGGGAAUAUUGGACAAUGGGCGAAAGCCUGAUCCAGCCAUGCCGCGUGUGUGAAGAAGGUCUUCGGAUUGUAAAGCACUUUAAGUUGGGAGGAAGGGUUGUAGAUUAAUACUCUGCAAUUUUGACGUUACCGACAGAAUAAGCACCGGCUAACUCUGUGCCAGCAGCCGCGGUAAUACAGAGGGUGCAAGCGUUAAUCGGAAUUACUGGGCGUAAAGCGCGCGUAGGUGGUUUGUUAAGUUGGAUGUGAAAUCCCCGGGCUCAACCUGGGAACUGCAUUCAAAACUGACUGACUAGAGUAUGGUAGAGGGUGGUGGAAUUUCCUGUGUAGCGGUGAAAUGCGUAGAUAUAGGAAGGAACACCAGUGGCGAAGGCGACCACCUGGACUAAUACUGACACUGAGGUGCGAAAGCGUGGGGAGCAAAC
RNAcentral lists this ribosomal RNA (698 nucleotides) under Pseudomonas sp. 100-p8_D1. RNAcentral describes it as "bacterial SSU rRNA". It matches the Rfam family "Bacterial small subunit ribosomal RNA", at positions 79 to 773 of the family's 1533-position model. Lineage: Bacteria; Pseudomonadati; Pseudomonadota; Gammaproteobacteria; Pseudomonadales; Pseudomonadaceae. The record is from RNAcentral.